UUGGACAAUGGGCGCAAGCCUGAUCCAGCCAUGCCGCGUGGGUGAAGAAGGCCCUAGGGUUGUAAACCCCUUUCAGCGGGGAAGAUAAUGACGGUACCCGCAGAAGAAGUCCCGGCUAACUCCGUGCCAGCAGCCGCGGUAAUACGGAGGGGACUAGCGUUGUUCGGAAUUACUGGGCGUAAAGCGCACGUAGGCGGAUUUGUAAGUCAGGGGUGAAAUCCCGAGGCUCAACCUCGGAACUGCCUUUGAUACUGCAAAUCUCGAGUCCGGAAGAGGUGAGUGGAAUUCCUAGUGUAGAGGUGAAAUUCGUAGAUAUUAGGAAGAACACCAGUGGCGAAGGCGGCUCACUGGUCCGGUACUGACGCUGAGGUGCGAAAGCGUGGGGAGCAAACAGGAUUAGAUACCCUGAUAGUCCACGCCGUAAACUAUGGGUGCUAGCCGUCGGUCGGCAUGCCGGUCGGUGGCGCAGCAAACGCAUUAAGCACCCCGCCUGGGGAGUACGGUCGCAAGAUUA
RNAcentral lists this ribosomal RNA (514 nucleotides) under uncultured Pseudomonadota bacterium. RNAcentral describes it as "bacterial SSU rRNA". It matches the Rfam family "Bacterial small subunit ribosomal RNA", at positions 364 to 896 of the family's 1533-position model. The record is from RNAcentral. Lineage: Bacteria; Pseudomonadati; Pseudomonadota.